UUGCCAUUAAAAUUUCCCCCCCCCCCUCUCUCUCUAAUCCUAUUUUCUCUCUAUUCUCUCUCAAAACUCCCAUAUUUUCUCCCAAAUCGGAGUACCUCAUUGCCCUAGAGUUCCCCCCUUUCUUCUUCUUGGUCGCUGUCAUCGUCGUUGUCUUCUUGCCGGAAAAUACAAACAGAUGGGCAUUAUGUCGACCGUGUCACUUAUAGGGGUACAAGAAGGCUGACAAAAAUAAGGGAAUAGUUUCAGAAGCAUGGAUUGUUGGCUACAGCGAAUGAGUCUCCAUUUGAAAUAAUUUUUCACCGCUCCUAUAGUCGAAUUCUUGGGGGUGAUGGUGCACAUUAUCCUUCUAUGUGGGAUCAAUUCUUCACAUGAAGAUGAGUUGCAUUUUCUAAUUGGAAAUGAUCAUUGUAAGUUCUGGGUGCAUAAUUUCUCCCUUAUUACUGGGCUUACCUGUAGACGUCCGUCGUUGUCAUCUUAGUUACAUCCUAUCUAAUGUCCAUCUAUCUCCUGGACACAUUUUAGUGUGGGAUUGGAUGAAAAAAAAUUGGGUUAUUGGAUCGAGUGUUUGCCAUAUGCGACCAGGUUGAUGAUAUAUGGAAGCUUGGUUUAGUAUAUUUUGUGGAGGGGGCACUCUUGUCUAGUGAGAAAGGUGGGUAUAUUUGGCAAGAAUUACUGUACAUGGUUGAUGAUUUUGAUUACUUUUACAUGUACCCGUGGGGGUCUAUAUGUUUCAAUUUGACCUUGCAACAACUGAAGAGGGAUGUGGUUGCUAUUGGUAAUCGUUUAUCCGAGAAGAAGGUGAAAGCUAAGGAUCAAGACAAGCGUCCAUAGAUCGAAUCCAAGUACACAUGCAGGGGCUAUCCACUAUCCAUAGAGUACUGGGCUUAUGAGGUUGUGAUCAAUUUAGCCAAUGUGUAUGCCAAGCCUACCUUAGGACUGAAGUUCCCAAGAAUGCUACAAUGGGAGAUCAUAAGGCAACCAAAACACCUAGACAUGAAACUAUUACUUAAUAGGAAGCUGAUGACAGUGAUUCCCUUCUUGAUGCCUUAAUCUGCCAAGAAAGACUUCUUUGGAAAUGUAUACUUGAGGAUAGAAGAAGACGGUCCUCGGUAAGUGAUGUUGACUGAUAUGAUUCAGCUUAAGGGUGAAGAAGGAGUAGGCAUGGAUCCUGUUGCGGAAGUUGCUAAGUAGGUAGAUAUCGCCAAUACGACUGGUAUUUUUGAAGAGUCUGAUGAGGCUGAGCCAACUAGGCCAUCUAGUGUUCUACAACUUACCCCAAUUAAUGUAUCAGGCAUUAAUGAUAUUGUGGCUGGGGUGGCCUCAGUCAAGACUAAUGUUAAAGCGACCCACGAUUCACCACAGGGUAUUGCGGCUAAAGUGGCCUCAAUGAAGGUUGUAUUUACUGAUGUGAAAGUGACACAAGAUGCCAUGUUUCAAACUCAUAAUACAAUCUUACAAAAGUUUGAUGCCCUCAACCAGCGAGGUCUCAUAGAUCAUACUCCUGAUGAUGCACUGUGUGAUGUCCUUUCUGCCUGUUAUGAGCCUGAUUCAGCCACACCUGCACCAGCAGCCCAGACGGUCCUAGGACAAGGCAGAGACCAAUGAGCUACGAGGACUUUCACUAACAAGGAAGUGUCAGAAAUUCAAGGAUCCAAUCCAAAUCCUUUCACUAAAGGAGUUAGACGAAGUGCAACUGACAACAUUCUGUCAGUGGAUGCUCGGUGAGAUUGACAAUAGUAGCCCUAGGUGCUUGGAGGGAUGUCAUGGGAUGUCCGUUUGGUUUAUGUAGUUAAAAGUGAAACGAUUUUGGGUUGUUGACAUUGUAAGUAUGAGUGCAACAAGUCUUCUACUUAAAGGUUUCUUAUAGUAAUUGACAUCAUUUUUAUCUUACAACACUUGGACGUCGCAAAUCAUUUGAUGUGGAGACGCUUGUUCGAGUUGCCCAAGACGUAUCCUAUCGACACUACCAUUAUGGACUCUAUAUUUGGCCAGACCAUGCUUGCCAGAUAUGAUGAUUGGCAUAAGAGUCUUAAUACAUACAAGUGGGAUGAUGUUCAUGAUUUGAUGAAGGGAGACAAAAAUAAAUUCAAGAAGUCAUGGGGUGAGUGUGAUGAAGUAUACUUCCAUCUAUCUAUCAAUAACAAUUGGAUUCUACGUGAAGCUAGUUUGAAAGAGUGGAUCAUAUCCAUCUAUGACUCGCACCACUCGAACAUUAGUCAAAAUGUGUUGGCACGUAACAUUAAUCAGUGGUGGAUGUUUGACAAAAAUCCCCACUUGAAACUACAGUAACUGAAGCAUACCGUUGCAUAAUUUGACUGGAGGUGUAUCUCCAAUGACGUAGUACCACAAUCUAAAUCGAUGUAUAGAAAAAAUAUUGUAUUUCUCUUUAUUAUCCUCAAUAGUUGUUUGAUUCUAUGGAUGCCAAAAUUUGGCCACUUCAAAAUACUUGACAAAAGUGGCAAGGACCAAGGCGCUUAGCACCCAUAAAGGUCUGUAGUAUCAUUAGGACUUCCUCUUUAAGGGUCCUCAAGCCAUAAGUGUAACGCUCUGGAUAACCAAAAUCGUUACACUGUGUGUUUGAAAUAAUGCGAGACUUGCUAAUCAAGUCAUUUAAAUAAAAAUGUGAAUCUAAUGACACGAACAGGUUAGGUUUAAAAGAUUUUGGUUAUAAACGAAUAAUUUUCAUUGAAAUGAAUGUUUGGUACAUGGGAUCCCAAAUAAGAGUUUAAAUAACGUAAUUACAGAAUUUCCAAAUCUUAUAAAUAAUCAAGCCACUCUAAUGGCAAAAUACACGUUUUAGGUUUCCGUCCCUGUACAAACCCUCGAUCGUGGCGGUCGGGCAGCUGACAAUGUACACCUCGCCCCCAGAGCUCUCCAACCCAUGGUUGAACCGUCUUACCCUAGCCUUUACCUGCACCACGUAGCACCCGUGAGCCAAGGCCCAGCAUGAAAACAUAACAUUGUAGUACAAUCAAUAUCAACAACUAUGUAGUUCACAGAGCAUAACCAAAUGAUUUACAAGGCAUUAAUCAAUUACCCAGCAAGCCAUAGCAUUCAUUCAAUCCAGGACAUCAGUUAAUAACCAAUGAUCUAGUUCCAGAUAUUCAACAUAUCAUACACAACAAUUAAUAAAAGUAUUGUAGAGUCCAAGAACUUUACUUAGCUAGUUAGAUAGUAGUAUAAUAGUAAUAGUAGUAGUAUUUUUAUGACUGUGGAUUUUGGUUCAGACCGGGAUUUAAUUGGAGACUCAUAGUAGCACUUGUAGAUUUUCUAAGUUUAACCUAUAGUUUAAGAAUAUUAAUUUUAACCUAAGGUUUGAUUAAUAUUGCUGGUUAUUAAUAUGAUAAUUAUUGUAACCUAAGGUUUAGAUAUAGCCAAUAGGAUUAUGUCAUUUGACAUAUGCAUGAUUAUUAAGAAAUUAUUAUUUUAAUGAUAAAAUAAGAUAAAUAUAAGACUUAUUCUUCACCAAAAUCUAAUAGGAGCAUGAUAUUUGUCAUAAUUUUAUUUAUUUGUGAAUUAGGAUGUAAAUAGAUUUUUCGUAACUUUAGGAUACUGUAACUUCCGACUUAUUUUUUGACCCAGUUAUAUUAGGAAUUUCGAAAAAUAUUAUUUCUUAAAAGUUGUAGAUAAUUUAAUUAUCUUUCUAACGGUAUAAAGAUAGUCCAAAUCGGAGUUCUACAGCUCCAGAUAUGUUGA
This is a long non-coding RNA of Humulus lupulus (European hop), 3696 nucleotides long. RefSeq lists it as uncharacterized. The transcript has 4 exons. Lineage: Eukaryota; Viridiplantae; Streptophyta; Magnoliopsida; Rosales; Cannabaceae. The record is from RefSeq and is a predicted model, not a curated record.